Long non-coding RNA from Equus caballus (horse), 2983 nucleotides. Lineage: Eukaryota; Metazoa; Chordata; Mammalia; Perissodactyla; Equidae. The record is from Ensembl.
GGGAAGCUGGACAGCUCGUCGUUCCUGACCCUUGCUGUGCGGUCCCCCGUCUCCUGGGCUGGGCUCAGCCGCCCUCCUGCUCCUGGCCUGCCUCGCUCCUCUGCAGUCAUUUAGACACUACUGUCUCUCGCUCUGUCCUCCUCUCUCUAAUUACCUGGUAUUUAUUCCCAGAUGUGUCCGUCUCCCCGACUAGACUUGGGCUCUGAGUGGAGGGGACGGCCAGGCCUGCGCCCUCUCCGGGGCCACCCGUGCCCUGCCCGCAGCACACGCCCAUCGAACGCUCGUGGAGCCUCGUUCUGCAGAUGAGCAGACCCCAUCUGAGAAGCAAAGCGACUUCCAUCCCCAGGGCCGCAUUGAGCACCAACGGUAAUCAGCCUGGCACAAGGGACCCCUGGGGUGGGAGCUGUCGGAUAAAAGGGGGAGACACCUCUGUCCCUGCCCUCCGGGAGCAUCCAGUCCAGCCGGGGAAAGAGUGACCUGUGUCAGCACCCAGUGACUGGCCCUCAUUCGAGUGUCCAGUGCACAUGGGGUCUCCUGCCGCGUGCUGGAAAUGCAGGCAUUUGGGGACAACCGGUCCCGCGUGCUCAGGUCUGUGCUAAGCCACGUGUGGGACAGGAGGCAGGAAGGUAGGCAAUGAAGAGGCCUCCACCCCUGCCCUCGGGGAAGCCACCACGGGCCAGCGAGGGGACCGGAGCAUCCCGGGAGGAUGGGACCACCUGAGAGGAUGAGGAGGCGGCGGCAACGUGGACAGUGAGGGGCGAAGCAGCUCAGGGAAGUGAGAGAUCUGGGAAGACUUCUUGGAGGAGGCAAGUUGGGGCUGAGAUGUAGAGAACGAAAAGGAAGGGUCCCCUGGCUUGCCUCCCUUCCUGUCAUCAUUUUCCCAUGAAGGGCUGGUCUCCCCAGCCACCCUGAGAGCCCACAGCAUUCAGGAGACCCCACGGGGUGAGAUGGAAGGCCCAGAUCUAACUUCACGCUGAAGCCCCGAGUGACCUCAGGCUCCUCCGCCUCUCUGGGUCUCAGUUUCCCGUCUGGUCAGUAGGGGACCCAUGUCAUCUUUCAACCCUCAGCUCCGAGGCACCUUCGGGCGCCUCCAGGCCAAGCCAGUUGCUUCUGGCUCUGCUCUUCCAGAGGCUUCUCCUGGAACACCUGCUCUAGGAACGGAUGUGUCCUUGGGUCCAGCCGCCCUGGGCUACAGGCUCCCCAAGGUUGUGGGUCCAGGGCAUCCCCUGGGCCUGGCCCCACCUGGAGCCAGGGCUUCCGUCAUGCACGGAGGGUGAGGUGUGUGUGGGGAUGACCACGGGGCUGCCUCCGGGCCGCCGUGCACCCUGCUCUCUGGAGCUGGCUGGACAGGCCCGGGGACUCUGGGCCCCCAGCCCGGCCUGUCCUCAAGGACAGCAGAGGGCGGGCAGGGGAGUGAGGAGGCAGGCUGGCUACUAAUUAAAAAGCCAGUCGUGUACGGGUCCUGCUUCAUUCUCAAACAAACCGUCAAGGGUAUUAAUGACCAGAUCUGGCGAUAGACGCGGUUAGGCUUACUCAGGCCGGGCAGGGAUCCUGGCGGUCAGAAUGUCAACGAGCGCCUGGCCUCCGAGGCUCAGGGCGGGGCUGAGCAGGGGCUGGGCAGGCAAGGGGCACCUUGGGGAGACCUCCGGUAAUGAAAAUGAUACCCCACUCCCGCCAGUUACCCCCGACGCGGGGUCACGGAGUGCCAGGCAGGGGCCACGUGGCUGCUUUACAUGCCUUAUGUCGUCUCCCUCCCAACAGCCUCAGGAGAUUGGUCCUAUUUUUAUCCCCAUUUAGCAACCGAGGACAUUCGGGCACAGAGAGACUCUAUAACUUGACAGGGUCACACAGCUAGCAAGUGGCAGCGCCAGGACACCAGCCUGGGCUCUUAACCACAGGGACACAACGACCUAGAUGUGCUGGCUGGCAUCACUGAAGCAGUCCAUCAUCAUACAGGCAGGGAAACUGAGGCAGGAGAUGAUGUCGCCUGCCAAAGUCAUACCCACCUUGGUAGAAUGUAAACGGUGUCAUCUGAUGCUCAGCCCAGGAUUUUCUCCUUCUCACCAGCUAAGUGUGUGUGCCAGGGUCCCCACCAGGAAAGGAGAGCAUUCCGGGGCCCUGCUGGGCCAGGGUUUGGGGGCCUGCCUUCCUCCUCGCCUCCCACCCUUCUCCCUCUGCCGCCUCCCAGAACCCUCGGCAGCCCAGCUGGGCUGAAGCAGCCCCGUCCUCCUCCGUGUCAGCCCCGGCAGCAGUCCCAGCCCGGCACCAGUCCCGGCGGAAUUAAAAUAGGCCUGACCUAAAUACGAACACAAUGCCGGCGAGGAAGCACGGCUGUGUCAGCGGAAACUCCCACUGCGGAGGAGACAACGUGCUGGGGGAUCGACACCCCCACCCCGGGAAGAGGGUCAGGCUGCCCCAGGCCCAGGGCCAGUGAAAUCUGCAUGACAUGGACACCGACAAGUCCCUGAAGUGUCUCCAAGGGUGGCAAAGAGCUCUCUGAAGACCUGACUGAGCAGAGGCAGGGGGCGGCAGCCCACCAACCUGACAUCAGGGACUCCUUCCUGGAGGCGGCGACAUGAGAGCUGGGCCUGGAGAGGUGACCAGAAUGUUGGCAGGUGGAUGUGGGGGCUUUGAGGACACCCUGCGGCCACCUGUCCAGGAGCCUCGGGGUUCUCCACGUGCGCAGCUGGCCCCGGCGCCUGAGCAGCGCUCUGGAGGCCCCAGACGAGACAUCAUGAGAUGAGGGUGGAAGAUGGUGCCUCAGGGACGGGCCGGUGUUCCAGGUCCAGGCCCUGGGAGGCCCACCUGGCCCUCGCUCAACGGACACACAUCUCCUGAGCUUCUGCAGGCCGUGUUCCGGGUGCAGGACCAGAGCAGGGACCAGGCCCGGCCAGGGCCCCGGCCGCGUGGUGACGGCCAGCUGGGAAGGACCAAGAGCCUGGGGAGAGGCGGUCUCAGCCAUCCGUGGGGACAGGAAGCUCCU